AGCAGUCGCCACGGUAAUACAGAGGUCUCAAGCGUUGUUCGGAUUCAUUGGGCGUAAAGGGAGCGUAGGCGGCCGGGUAAGUCGGAUGUGAAAUCCUGGGGCUCAACCUCAGAACUGCAUUCGAUACUGCUUGGCUAGAGGACUGGAGAGGUGAGUGGAAUUCACGGUGUAGCAGUGAAAUGCGUAGAUAUCGUGAGGAAGACCAGCGGCGAAGGCGGCUCACUGGACAGUUCCUGACGCUGAUGCUCGAAGGCCAGGGGAGCAAACGGGAUUAGAUACCCGGGUAGUCCCUGUCUCUUAUAC
RNAcentral lists this ribosomal RNA (303 nucleotides) under uncultured bacterium. Its description in RNAcentral is "partial 16S ribosomal RNA". It matches the Rfam family "Bacterial small subunit ribosomal RNA", at positions 507 to 807 of the family's 1533-position model. The record is from RNAcentral.